GAACCAGCCAAGUAGCGUGAAGGAUGAAGGCUCUAUGGGUCGUAAACUUCUUUUAUAAAGGAAUAAAGUCACCUACGUGUAGGUGUUUGUAUGUACUUUAUGAAUAAGGAUCGGCUAACUCCGUGCCAGCGAGCCGCGGUAAUAA
RNAcentral lists this ribosomal RNA (145 nucleotides) under uncultured bacterium. RNAcentral's name for it is "partial 16S ribosomal RNA". It matches the Rfam family "Bacterial small subunit ribosomal RNA", at positions 385 to 526 of the family's 1533-position model. The record is from RNAcentral.